RNAcentral lists this ribosomal RNA (468 nucleotides) under uncultured bacterium. RNAcentral describes it as "partial 16S ribosomal RNA". It matches the Rfam family "Bacterial small subunit ribosomal RNA", at positions 33 to 507 of the family's 1533-position model. The record is from RNAcentral.
GCAACACACUUUCUUCGUUCUUAACACAUGCAAGUCGAACGGAAAGGCCCUGCUUUUGUGGGGUGCUCGAGUGGCGAACGGGUGAGUAACACGUGAGUAACCUGCCCUUGACUUUGGGAUAACUUCAGGAAACUGGGGCUAAUACCGGAUAGGAGCUCCUGCUGCAUGGUGGGGGUUGGAAAGUUUCGGCGGUUGGGGAUGGACUCGCGGCUUAUCAGCUUGUUGGUGGGGUAGUGGCUUACCAAGGCUUUGACGGGUAGCCGGCCUGAGAGGGUGACCGGCCACAUUGGGACUGAGAUACGGCCCAGACUCCUACGGGAGGCAGCAGUGGGGAAUAUUGCACAAUGGGCGGAAGCCUGAUGCAGCAACGCCGCGUGCGGGAUGACGGCCUUCGGGUUGUAAACCGCUUUCGCCUGUGACGAAGCGUGAGUGACGGUAAUGGGUAAAGAAGCACCGGCUAACUACGUG